Molecule: long non-coding RNA, 459 nt
Organism: Leptinotarsa decemlineata (Colorado potato beetle)
Lineage: Eukaryota; Metazoa; Arthropoda; Insecta; Coleoptera; Chrysomelidae
Source: RefSeq, a predicted model, not a curated record
GAAAUCCAAAGCUUGUUCUUUUCUGUUGAAAUUAAACGUGUUUUCACCAGGAUUAUUUGUGAUUUCACCAGGAUUUUAAUUUUUAUCUUGAUCUCUGUUUUUCUGGCUGUCAACAUGACAGCCAAUUUCAGAUCGGUUAAGGCUCGCUAUAGUUGUAAUAUCAAAAUCGUGUAAUUUUGAAUCGUCUAGGAGAGGAUCACGAUAAUACUCUCUCAUGGGAAAUUGCUGUUUAAAAAUUUGUGGAAUAUGUUCCUGCAUGGUCAAGAUCAUCAUGCUAGCUCUUACGAGUACUGUGGUAUUAUUAUUGAUAAUACUUUUAGUUAUAUUUCUUUGAUCAUCCUCAUACAGAAAUCAGUGGAAGACUGAUAAUAUUGAGACGAAUAACUUUUGGCACUGAAUCGAAACUACGUAUUUAUAAUACUAUAGUGAAUAAAGAUGUGAAUAAUUCGAAAAAAUGAA